GCUGGGCAUGGUGGCGCAUGCCUGUAAUCCCAGCUACUCGGGAGACUGAGGCAGGAGAAUUGCUUGAACCCGGGAGGCAGAGGUUGCAGUGGGCCAAGAUGGUGCCACUACACUCCAGCCUGGGUGACAAAGCAAGACUCUGUCUCAA
This 148-nucleotide non-coding RNA is filed under the name Nomascus leucogenys (northern white-cheeked gibbon). The record is from Rfam by way of RNAcentral. Lineage: Eukaryota; Metazoa; Chordata; Mammalia; Primates; Hylobatidae.